Molecule: ribosomal RNA, 350 nt
Filed under: uncultured fungus
Lineage: Eukaryota; Fungi
Description: eukaryotic LSU rRNA
Rfam family: 5.8S ribosomal RNA (bases 1-71)
Source: RNAcentral
GUGAAUCAUCGAGUCUUUGAACGCAUCUUGCACCCUUUGGUAUUCCAAAGGGUAUGCCUGUUUGAGUGUCGUUAACCCUCUCAACACAGAUCAUGUUUAUUGGUUUGUGCUUGGACUUUGAAGGUUUGCUGGCCCCCAAGGGUCUAAGCUCCUUUAAAUGUAUUAGCAGGACUACGCACGGACUAGCUUCGGUUUGAUAAGCUCCUUUAUCUAUGCUGUCGCUAACAAGGCUCUAUUCAGCUUCCAAUUGUCUUUGGACUGUCUCAUUUACGAGGCAUUACAAUUAUUUGACAUUUACCUCAAAUCAGGUAGGACUACCCGCUGAACUUAAGCAUAUCAAUAAGCGGAGG